CCCUUAGAUGUUCUGGGCCGCACGCGCGCUACACUGAUGCAUUCAACAAGUAUUUUCCUUGGCCGACAGGCCUGGGUAAUCUUUGAAAAUGCAUCGUGAUGGGGAUAGACCACUGUAACUGUGGUCUUGAACGAGGAAUUCCUAGUAAGCGUGAGUCAUCAGCUCGCGUUGACUUCGUCCCUGCCCUUUGUACACACCGCCCGUCGCUCCUACCGAUUGAAUGAUCCGGUGAAGUUUUCGGACCGUUGCCGCCCAGCUGAUUCGUUGGCCAGGCGGUGGUGGGAAGAUACCUAAACCUUAUCAUUUAGAGGAAGGAGAAGUCGUAACA
Molecule: ribosomal RNA, 328 nt
Filed under: uncultured eukaryote
Lineage: Eukaryota
Description: partial 18S ribosomal RNA
Rfam family: Eukaryotic small subunit ribosomal RNA
Source: RNAcentral